GGAGAUGCCUUUGGACUUAGGCCCAGCUC
RNAcentral lists this non-coding RNA (29 nucleotides) under Rattus norvegicus (Norway rat). The record is from RNAcentral. Lineage: Eukaryota; Metazoa; Chordata; Mammalia; Rodentia; Muridae.